Molecule: ribosomal RNA, 495 nt
Filed under: uncultured bacterium
Lineage: Bacteria
Description: partial 16S ribosomal RNA
Rfam family: Bacterial small subunit ribosomal RNA
Source: RNAcentral
GACGAACGCUGGCGGCGUGCCUAAUACAUGCAAGUAGAACGCUGAAGGAGGAGCUUGCUUCUCCGGAUGAGUUGCGAACGGGUGAGUAACGCGUAGGUAACCUGCCUGGUAGCGGGGGAUAACUAUUGGAAACGAUAGCUAAUACCGCAUAAGAGUAGAUGUCGCAUGACAUUUGCUUAAAAGGUGCAACUGCACCACUACCAGAUGGACCUGCGUUGUAUUAGCUAGUUGGUGAGGUAACGGCUCAACAAGGCAACGAUACAUAGCCGACCUGAGAGGGUGAUCGGCCACAAUGGGACCGGGACACGGCCCAGAAUCCUACGGGAGGGAGCAGUAGGGGAUCUUCGGCAAUGGACGGAAGUCUGACCGAGCAACGCCGCGUGAGGGAAGAAGGUUUUCGGAUCGUAAAGCUCUGUUGUAAGAGAAGAACGAGAGUGGGAGUGGAAAGUUCACACUGUGACGGUAUCUUACCAGAAAGGGACGGCUAACUACGUG